GAUGAACGCUGGCGGCGUGCUUAACACAUGCAAGUCGAGCGAGAGAGUUCUUCGGAACAAUCUAGCGGCGGACGGGUGAGUAACACGUGGGCAACCUGCCUCAUAGAGGGGAAUAGCCUUCCGAAAGGAAGAUUAAUACCGCAUAACAUCGUUGAAGGGCAUCCUUCGAUGAUCAAAGGAGCAAUCCGCUAUGAGAUGGGCCCGCGGCGCAUUAGCUAGUUGGUGAGGUAACGGCUCACCAAGGCGACGAUGCGUAGCCGACCUGAGAGGGUGAUCGGCCACAUUGGGACUGAGCCACGGCCCAGACUCCUACGGGAGGCAGCAGUGGGGAAUAUUGCACAAUGGGGGAAACCCUGAUGCAGCAACGCCGCGGGGGUGAUGACGGCCUUCGGGUUGUAAAGUCCUUUCGACGGGGACGAUGAUGACGGUACCCGUAGAAGAAGCCCCGGCUAACUUCGUGCCAGCCGCCGCGGUAA
This 476-nucleotide ribosomal RNA is filed under the name uncultured bacterium. Its description in RNAcentral is "partial 16S ribosomal RNA". It matches the Rfam family "Bacterial small subunit ribosomal RNA", at positions 28 to 523 of the family's 1533-position model. The record is from RNAcentral.